This 1431-nucleotide ribosomal RNA is filed under the name uncultured organism. Its description in RNAcentral is "partial small subunit ribosomal RNA". It matches the Rfam family "Bacterial small subunit ribosomal RNA". The record is from RNAcentral.
AUGACGAACGCUGGCGGCGUGCUUAACACAUGCAAGUCGAACGGAAAGGCCCUGCUUUUGUGGGGUGCUCGAGUGGCGAACGGGUGAGUAACACGUGAGUAACCUGCCCUUGACUUUGGGAUAACUUCAGGAAACUGGGGCUAAUACCGGAUAGGAGCUCCUGCUGCAUGGUGGGGGUUGGAAAGUUUCGGCGGUUGGGGAUGGACUCGCGGCUUAUCAGCUUGUUGGUGGGGUAGUGGCUUACCAAGGCUUUGACGGGUAGCCGGCCUGAGAGGGUGACCGGCCACAUUGGGACUGAGAUACGGCCCAGACUCCUACGGGAGGCAGCAGUGGGGAAUAUUGCACAAUGGGCGGAAGCCUGAUGCAGCAACGCCGCGUGCGGGAUGACGGCCUUCGGGUUGUAAACCGCUUUCGCCUGUGACGAAGCGUGAGUGACGGUAAUGGGUAAAGAAGCACCGGCUAACUACGUGCCAGCAGCCGCGGUGAUACGUAGGGUGCGAGCGUUGUCCGGAUUUAUUGGGCGUAAAGGGCUCGUAGGUGGUUGAUCGCGUCGGAAGUGUAAUCUUGGGGCUUAACCCUGAGCGUGCUUUCGAUACGGGUUGACUUGAGGAAGGUAGGGGAGAAUGGAAUUCCUGGUGGAGCGGUGGAAUGCGCAGAUAUCAGGAGGAACACCAGUGGCGAAGGCGGUUCUCUGGGCCUUUCCUGACGCUGAGGAGCGAAAGCGUGGGGAGCGAACAGGCUUAGAUACCCUGGUAGUCCACGCUGUAAACGGUGGGUACUAGGUGUGGGGUCCAUUCCACGGGUUCCGUGCCGUAGCUAACGCUUUAAGUACCCCGCCUGGGGAGUACGGCCGCAAGGCUAAAACUCAAAGGAAUUGACGGGGCCCCGCACAAGCGGCGGAGCAUGCGGAUUAAUUCGAUGCAACGCGUAGAACCUUACCUGGGUUUGACAUGGAUCGGGAGUGCUCAGAGAUGGGUGUGCCUCUUUUGGGGUCGGUUCACAGGUGGUGCAUGCCUGUCGUCAGCUCGUGUCGUGAGAUGUUGGGUUAAGUCCCGCAACGAGCGCAACCCUUGUUCACUGUUGCCAGCACGUUAUGGUGGGGACUCAGUGGAGACCGCCGGGGUCAACUCGGAGGAAGGUGGGGAUGACGUCAAGUCCUCAUGCCCCUUAUGUCCAGGGCUUCACGCAUGCUACAAUGGCUGGUACAGAGAGUGGCGAGCCUGUGAGGGUGAGCGAAUCUCGGAAAGCCGGUCUCAGUUCGGAUUGGGGUCUGCAACUCGACCUCAUGAAGUCGGAGUCGCUAGUAAUCGCAGAUCAGCAACGCUGCGGUGAAUACGUUCCCGGGGCUUGUACACACCGCCCGUCAAGUCAUGAAAGUUGGUAACACCCGAAGCCGGUGGCCUAACCGUUGUGGGGGAGCCGUCGAAGGUG